Molecule: ribosomal RNA, 440 nt
Filed under: uncultured Glomus
Lineage: Eukaryota; Fungi; Glomeromycota; Glomeromycetes; Glomerales; Glomeraceae
Description: SSU rRNA
Rfam family: Eukaryotic small subunit ribosomal RNA
Source: RNAcentral
AGCAGCCGCGGUAAUUCCAGCUCCAAUAGCGUAUAUUAAAGUUGUUGCAGUUAAAAAGCUCGUAGUUGAAUUUCGGGGUUAGCAAGUUGGUCGUGCCUUUGGUAUGCACUGGCUUUGCUGAUUCCUCCUUCUUGAAGAACUGUGAUGCUAUUAAUUUGGUGUUGCAGGGAAACAGGACUGUUACUUUGAAAAAUUAGAGUGUUUAAAGCAGGCUAACGCUUGAAUACAUUAGCAUGGAAUAAUGAAAUAGGACGUUUGAUCCUAUUUUGUUGGUUUCUAGGAUUGACGUAAUGAUUAAUAGGGAUAGUUGGGGGCAUUAGUAUUCAAUUGUCAGAGGUGAAAUUCUUGGAUUUAUUGAAGACUGACUACUGCGAAAGCAUUUGCCGAGGAUGUUUUCAUUAAUCAAGAACGAAAGUUAGGGGAUCGAAGACGAUCAGAUA